Molecule: long non-coding RNA, 701 nt
Filed under: Pan troglodytes (chimpanzee)
Lineage: Eukaryota; Metazoa; Chordata; Mammalia; Primates; Hominidae
Description: long non-coding RNA NONPTRT016109
Source: RNAcentral
AUUAUGAGAAGAAAAUUGUAUAUCCUAAGCUGCUCUCUGCUCCCAGUACAGCUUUAGACUAUCUUAUACAGUAAUGAGCAGUAUAUGCAAAAUUAAAUUGCUGUAAGUUUUAUUACAUUCAAAAUAUAAGUAGGAAUGUGGAAACUGCCAUCCCCAAAAUAGUUGAUGCUGUUUUGAGUCAUGUAUAUCAGUGUUCCAUCCAGUGAGUAUUGAGAUUUCAAUUUGCUAGUAAGAUUUUUUUAGUCUAUUCUAUUAUCAUUUAUUUUAAAAUCUUUUAAACUAUUGUUUAAAUUUAAAGGGCUCGGACAAAAAUAGUUUAUUCUACAUAUAGUCGAAAAUCUGCCAAAGAAGUAGGAGAGAAAUUGUUGGAGUUACAUGUGAAUUAUUGUGUUUUAGAAGAGGCAUGGUGUGUUGUGAGAACUAAGCCUGGUUGCAGUAUGCCUGAAAUCUGGGAUGUGGAAGACCCUUCCAAUGCAGCUAACCCUCCCUUAUGUAGCGUCCUGCUCAAAGAUGCCAAGCCUUACUUCACCACAGUAUUUCAGAAUAGUGUGUACAGAGUAUUGAGGGUUAACUGAGAAGGAAACUACCCAUUACACUAUGGCACAAUGUGGUGUGUCAAAAACAAUCACCCUUUGGCUUAUUUACAUUAAUAAAAAUCACAAGCUUUAAUAACAGACACUUAAAAAUAAGAUAAAAAUGGA